AGUGAACGCUGGCGGUAGGCCUAACACAUGCAAGUCGAACGGCAGCACAGAGGAGCUUUCUCCUUGGGUGGCGAAUGGCGGACGGGUGAGGAAUACAUCGGUAUCUAUUCUGUCGUGGGGGAUAAAGUAGGGAAACUUACGCGAAUACCGCAUACGAUCGACGGGUGACAGCAGGGAAUCUUCUGACCUUGCGCGAUUAAAUGAGCCGAUGUCGGAUUAGCUAGUUGGCGGGGUAAAGGGCCACCAAGGCUACGAUCCGUAGCUGGUCUGAGAGGAUGAUCAGCCACACUGGAACUGAGACACGGUCCAGACUCCUACGGGAGGCAGCAGUGGGGAAUAUUGGACAAUGGGCGCAAGCCUGAUCCAGCCAUACCGCGUGGGUGAAGAAGGCCUUCGGGUUGUAAAGCCCUUUUGUUGGGAAAGAAAUCCAUCUGGUUAAUACCCGGGUGGGAUGACGGUACCCAAAGAAUAAGCACCGGCUAACUUCGUGCCAGCAGCCGCAGUAA
RNAcentral lists this ribosomal RNA (506 nucleotides) under uncultured bacterium. RNAcentral describes it as "partial 16S ribosomal RNA". It matches the Rfam family "Bacterial small subunit ribosomal RNA", at positions 29 to 523 of the family's 1533-position model. The record is from RNAcentral.